This 465-nucleotide ribosomal RNA is filed under the name Vreelandella stevensii. RNAcentral describes it as "partial 16S ribosomal RNA". It matches the Rfam family "Bacterial small subunit ribosomal RNA", at positions 338 to 795 of the family's 1533-position model. The record is from RNAcentral. Lineage: Bacteria; Pseudomonadati; Pseudomonadota; Gammaproteobacteria; Oceanospirillales; Halomonadaceae.
CCUACGGACGGCAGCAGUGGGGAAUAUUGGACAAUGGGCGAAAGCCUGAUCCAGCCAUGCCGCGUGUGUGAAGAAGGCCUUCGGGUUGUAAAGCACUUUCAGUGGGGAAGAAAGCCUUGGGGCUAAUACCCUCGAGGAAGGACAUCACCCACAGAAGAAGCACCGGCUAACUCCGUGCCAGCAGCCGCGGUAAUACGGAGGGUGCGAGCGUUAAUCGGAAUUACUGGGCGUAAAGCGCGCGUAGGCGGUCUGAUAAGCCGGUUGUGAAAGCCCCGGGCUCAACCUGGGAACGGCAUCCGGAACUGUCAGGCUAGAGUGCAGGAGAGGAAGGUAGAAUUCCCGGGGUAGCGGUGAAAUGCGUAGAGAUCGGGAGGAAUACCAGUGGCGAAGGCGGCCUUCUGGACUGACACUGACGCUGAGGUGCGAAAGCGUGGGUAGCAAACAGGAUUAGAUACCCUAGUAGUC